RNAcentral lists this long non-coding RNA (724 nucleotides) under Homo sapiens (human). Its description in RNAcentral is "HSALNT0062986". Lineage: Eukaryota; Metazoa; Chordata; Mammalia; Primates; Hominidae. The record is from RNAcentral.
UUUUCCUUGUACAGGUCAACUCCACUUAGGUAGAAUGUGAAUAUAUAGUAUGAGAGGAAAAGGAAGACAGCAGGGCACAGUGUUCAUAAGAAAGAGACACAGGAUGCUUUUUAAGAAACUUGGGUGUGAAAGCAAAACAGGCAAUAUUUAGAAAGGAACUUUUGGUCAAUGGGUGGAAAUGGGUUAAAAUAGGAGCCAUUUGCACAUAAUUAUAUUCUAAGGGGAAGGAAGCAAUAGAGAGAGCAAUUGAAAAUGUAAGGAAGAGAGGGAAGAACUGAUGUGGGUGAGGGUGCAUGUUUAGAACACAGGCUGGGAAGAGUCGGCCGCGGGAGUCACACUGCUAAUAAAAGGCAGAGACCAGGGGUUUUUGGACCUGGGUGCAAAUUGUGGUCUUGCCACUUUCUAUCUGAGGGACCUUGUCACCCUGAUGGUGAAAAACAAGCCUGUAACAGAAGAAAGGAAAGACAAGAACUGGGAGGCUGUGAUAAGGGAGCUGCAUAUAUCAGCAGUGCAGCAAGUCUGGCUGUUGACAUGGUUCUUGGUGAGCCCAAGAGAGCUGACUGCUGGAAAAGAGUAGAGGAGAACAUUUUCAGCCUCAGAAAUAUCACUGGCCUCUGAUGGGAGAGAUAAGUGGUCUCAGGGCCUAAUGAGUGCUGGAGAAUUCAUUCAUUCAUUCAGUGAACAUGACUGAGGCCUCUCACUUUGCUAGACAUUUUGGAAGACA